CAGAGGGUGCGAGCGUUGUCCGGAAUCACUGGGCGUAAAGGGCGCGUAGGUGGCGGCCCAAGUCCAUGGUGAAAGCUCGCCGCUCAACGGCGAGUCGGCCACGGAUACUGGGUUGCUCGAGCACUGUAGGGGGCAGAUGGAAUUCCGGGGUGUAGCGGUGGAAUGCGUAGAGAUCCGGAAGAACACCAGUGGCGAAGGCGGUCUGCUGGGCAGUUGCUGACACUGAUGCGCGACAGCGUGGGGAGCAAACAGGAUUAGAUACCCUGGUAGUCCACGCCGUAAACGAUGGGCACUAGAUGCUUGGGGGAGCGACCCCCUGAGUGUCGUCGCUAACGCAGUAAGUGACCCCGCCUGGGGAGUACGGCCGCAAGGCUG
This 375-nucleotide ribosomal RNA is filed under the name uncultured organism. Its description in RNAcentral is "bacterial SSU rRNA". It matches the Rfam family "Bacterial small subunit ribosomal RNA", at positions 526 to 896 of the family's 1533-position model. The record is from RNAcentral.